RNAcentral lists this ribosomal RNA (914 nucleotides) under uncultured archaeon. Its description in RNAcentral is "bacterial SSU rRNA". It matches the Rfam family "Archaeal small subunit ribosomal RNA", at positions 1 to 922 of the family's 1478-position model. The record is from RNAcentral.
UUUCCGGUGAUCCCGCCGGACCUGACUGCUAUCGGAUUGAUACUAAGCCAUGCGAGUCAUUGUAGUAAUACAAGGCAGACGGCUCAGUAACGCGUAGUCAACCUACCCUAUGGACGGGGAUAACCUCGGGAAACUGAGAAUAAUACCCGAUAGAACAUUAUACCUGGAAUGGUUUAUGUUUCAAAUAAUUUAUUGCCGUAGGAUGGGACUGCGGCCUAUCAGUUUGUUGGUGAGGUAAUGGCCCACCAAGACUAUUACAGGUACGGGCUCUGAGAGGAGUAGCCCGGAGAUGGGUACUGAGACACGGACCCAGGCCCUAUGGGGCGCAGCAGGCGAGAAAACUUUGCAAUGUGCGAAAGCACGACAAGGUUAAUCCGAGUGGUUUCUGCUAAAGGAACCUUUUGUCAGUCCUAGAAACACUGGUGAAUAAGGGGUGGGCAAGUUCUGGUGUCAGCCGCCGCGGUAAAACCAGCACCUCAAGUGGUCAGGAUGAUUAUUGGGCCUAAAGCAUCCGUAGCCUGCUUUGUUAGUUUUCGGUUAAAUCCAUACGCUUAACGUAUGGGCUGCCGGGAAUACUGCAAAGCUAGGGAGUGGGAGAGGUAGACGGUACUCGGUAGGAAGGGGUAAAAUCCUUUGAUCUAUUGAUGACCACCUGUGGCGAAGGCGGUCUACCAGAACACGUCCGACGGUGAGGGAUGAAAGCUGGGGGAGCAAACCGGAUUAGAUACCCGGGUAGUCCCAGCUGUAAACUAUGCAAACUCGGUGAUGCAUUGGCUUGAUGCCAAUGCAGUGCCGCAGGGAAGCCGUUAAGUUUGCCGCCUGGGAAGUACGUACGCAAGUAUGAAACUUAAAGGAAUUGGCGGGGGAGCACCACAAGGGGUGAAGCCUGCGGUUCAAUUGGAUUCAACGCCGGG